RNAcentral lists this ribosomal RNA (253 nucleotides) under uncultured bacterium. RNAcentral's name for it is "partial 16S ribosomal RNA". It matches the Rfam family "Bacterial small subunit ribosomal RNA", at positions 524 to 776 of the family's 1533-position model. The record is from RNAcentral.
UACAGAGGGUGCGAGCGUUAAUCGGAAUUACUGGGCGUAAAGCGCACGUAGGUGGCGACGUAAGUCGGGUGUGAAAGCCCCGGGCUCAACCUGGGAAUUGCAUUCGAGACUGCAUUGCUGGAGUACGGAAGAGGAAGGCGGAAUUCCUGGUGUAGCGGUGAAAUGCGUAGAUAUCGGGAGGAACAUCAGUGGCGAAGGCGGCCUUCUGGUCCAGUACUGACACUCAAGUGCGAAAGCGUGGGGAGCAAACAGG